AUGGGUUUUGUGGUAAUAGUUGUCUUUCUAUGCCUCUUGAAUUCAACCUACUACGUUCGUCUAGCCGCGUUGAUAGAUGCACCUGGCAAUCUACUAACCGAGAUAAAACACGCAACUCUUGUGGAGCCACACCAUUUUGACUUGUCUAGGAGGAACAGAUUUCCUUCUGGAGAAUACCAAGAUAACAUUGUUUCUGGGGUAGCUGUGUGGAGGACACAAAUAGGAAAAUACUAUGGUCUCCGAGCUAAAAUAGGUGUGUGGGCUCACCCGAAUCAAAAACAUUCUCAAGAAUCUGGAGCAUCCAUAUCUGUUGGUGGAAAAUUUGGACCCAUGCUCAGCCAAAUUGAAGCCGGGUUUCAUGUUUUUCCUGACCUGUAUAACAACAGUGAUGUUCGCUUCUUUACGUUUUGGACUAGGGAUGGAUAUAAAUCAACAGGAUACUAUAACCUAAAAUGCAGCGGAUUCAUUCCUGCUAAAGGAGCUGCACUUGUUCCGGGUCAAGCAGUUGGUCCUCCCUCAACAUAUGAUGGAGAAGAUCACCACAUCACAAUUAGCCUACACACGGACCCUAAUACAGGAAACUGGGUAUUAUAUCGGGACGACCUAGAGAGGCCUUCUUUCCUAGGGCAUUUUCCUAAAGAUCUUUGCCCGGAGUUGAAUGGUGUUGCACCCCAAGUAUUAUUUUCUGGGUUUGCGACUUAUCCAAGGAAUGGCAGAGGGCCGGCAAUGGGCAGCGGGCAUUUUCCCGUGGAAGGUGAAAGAAAAGCCGCAUACUUUAAGAACAUGAAGAUAUUCGACUCAAAUGCUAGUGCUCAUGAUCCUAUUCCAAGCAUCAUGGUCCCUUUGAUGAAUAGGCCGGACUGCUACAAGUUGGGCGACAUUCCUCUUGGAGUAAAGAAUAGUUAUUUGUUCUAUUAUGGUGGGCUUGAAGGUUGUCAUGGUUGA
RNAcentral lists this ribosomal RNA (945 nucleotides) under Triticum aestivum (bread wheat). RNAcentral's name for it is "partial small subunit ribosomal RNA". The record is from RNAcentral. Lineage: Eukaryota; Viridiplantae; Streptophyta; Magnoliopsida; Poales; Poaceae.